CACGUAGGGUGCGAGCGUUGUCCUGAAUUAUUGGGCGUAAAGAGCUCGUAGGCGGUGUGUCGCGUCGGCCGUGAAAACCUGCAGCUUAACUGUGGGCUUGCGGUCGAUACGGGCAUCACUGGAGUUCGGCAGGGGAGACUGGAAUUCCUGGUGUAGCGGUGAAAUGCGCAGAUAUCAGGAGGAACACCGGUGGCGAAGGCGGGUCUCUGGGCCGAUACUGACGCUGAGGAGCGAAAGCGUGGGGAGCGAACAGG
This 254-nucleotide ribosomal RNA is filed under the name uncultured bacterium. RNAcentral's name for it is "partial 16S ribosomal RNA". It matches the Rfam family "Bacterial small subunit ribosomal RNA", at positions 524 to 776 of the family's 1533-position model. The record is from RNAcentral.